GCUCCCGUAGCUCAGUUGGAUAGAGUGUCAGACUCCGACUCUGAAGGUCGCGCGUUCGAGUCGCGCCGGGUGCACCA
RNAcentral lists this transfer RNA (77 nucleotides) under Clostridiales bacterium. RNAcentral describes it as "tRNA-Arg". It matches the Rfam family "tRNA". Rfam says of the family: Transfer RNA (tRNA) molecules are approximately 80 nucleotides in length. Their secondary structure includes four short double-helical elements and three loops (D, anti-codon, and T loops). The record is from RNAcentral. Lineage: Bacteria; Bacillati; Bacillota; Clostridia; Eubacteriales.